This 10347-nucleotide long non-coding RNA is filed under the name Solanum tuberosum (potato). Its description in RNAcentral is "long non-coding RNA (STUB_LNC004514)". Lineage: Eukaryota; Viridiplantae; Streptophyta; Magnoliopsida; Solanales; Solanaceae. The record is from RNAcentral.
UAAAAUUGACUCCAAUUAAGGCCUACUUAACCUAUGUAAUUCUAGGUAAAGGUUCUAAAUUAUCCUAAAAGGAAGGUGUAAGGUAUCCUUUAAGAUCAGUUAAAAAUUGUUAAUUGGCCAAACUUGUGUUGAUUAAUUUUAAAAGAAAGAUAUGAAUGCUAAAGAUUAAGUGAUUGAAUAAUCAAAUUGGAAACAUUUUUUAAUUGUGAAAGCUCUUUUGUAAUUGUAAUAUAAUGAUAAAGAUUUAAGAAAAAGUAACUCGUCUAGGUAAAUUUAGAAAAAUUUUGUAAUCCAAUGGCUAAAAGAAAGGUAAUUAAAAAAUAGGUAUUUGCUCUCAUUUAUUGACAAAGUGCUUCAUUUAGAAAAGUUUUUUUUAGAAAAAUAGGAGUUUGGAACAUUUUUUUUCUUUUUUCAAAAUACACUACCAAGUUUGAACAAAACAUAAUAAAUUAGUGAGUUUAAAUUUGUACAAAAACAAGUCUUUUGAAAAAAAGUUUGCCAAAUGAAGUUUAUAAAAGCUAAAGCGACUAUGAAGGUUGUUUCUAACUAAAGGUAGCGAAACCCAAACAUCUAUAUUAAGUUAGUUAUUAUGAAACAAGAAAUUAACACAUAUCCAAAACAUAUAAGCAAGUUAAAACAAAUAAAUGCUAAAUAGUAAAAGCGACCCCCAAAUGAAUUUUUCUUGCUAUUUGGAUAGUCUAAGAUAUCGACUUCAUGUGCGGGUAUGAUGGUGUCGAGUCCAUGAGACUCUAAUUUUGGUAGAGUCCUUAAAUGAGCCCUCUUGCACGGUGAGAGUCUUUUAUUGAGACUCCAAAUAGCUCCGGAAGUGUUCAUGCAAAUAAAGAACAAAAUAAAGAGAUUAGGGAGACAAAUCCACUUUAAGACUAUAUCAAAUAAACCAAACAUGAAGCUAGUAAAGUCGUACAACCAAAAUACUAUCCGGAAUGGAAAAUAUGUAAGCAUAGGAUAAGUCGACUUAUUAACAUAACUCAAAGUAACUAGUCUACAAGAUAAAACUAACUCUCAAGUUUAUCCAACUUAAUCUAUAACAAAGUUACAUUUUAAGGCAUGAAGAUAAUUAAAACAAGCCAUCUAUUUAAAACUUAUAAGAAAGAUUUAACAGAUAUACUAUAUAUGUUGACAUAAUAGGAAAGAAACUUAAAAACUAACAUUUUUUAAAAUAACAUAUUCAGAGAUUUACAUGUCAUUUAUUUAGAAAAAUUGAAGGAAGCUUAUGUACACAUAUUUGCUAAAAAAUAAUAGGAAAGAAGUUUAAAGAUUCACAAGCAAUUGACAGUAGGUUUUCCAUUCAACAGAGGGAACACAUAGAGGCAUCAUAACAUAAAAUCUAUUGCCAGAUAAGGAUACCAAAUGCCAUUAAUUUAUAAGAACAGAAGAUUUGAUCACAAAACCAUUAUAUGACAGUUAAAAAUGUAAAAUAAACGUGACUUUGGAUAUCUAAAAGAUUUGAGCUAAGCCCAAAUACAUUUUAAACAUCACCUUUAGUAUAGCUAAAAGUGAGCAGAGACAACAUUUUCGUCAUGAUGACAAAGAAAAAAAAGGAAAAGAGGAACACAUUACAAGUUGGCUAUCGAAAUACAAAGUUUAGGGCAUUUUAUUUGUGCCUUAAUCUAGUAAAAGGCAAUACUCCGACAAACAUAAACGAAGGAAUACAUAUUUGUAUAGGCUGAACAAUAUCUCAAAACAGAGGGAUAUAUAUUUGGUUAACAUCACUUAAGUAUGCUGAUAAGUAUUUUACUCAUUUGUCAAAACUUCAAACAAAGCAUAGUUUCCAAAGAGUUUACUACCUAAAAAUGAGUCUUGGAAACAUGAUUUCUAAAAAAAAAAACAAUCUUCAAAAUACUUUAACAUAUGAUUUUAUAAAAAGAAAUGAACAAAAAGUGAAUAUUAAAAUCAAAGACCAGCUAAGUUACAUUCAUUCAUCAUGAUGCCAAAACACAAAAGUACUGAAAUGAAACUAACAGUAAGUCCAUAACACAAUAAAACACAAAUUCGUCCACAUGUCAUGAAAAUAAAAUAAAAAAGAAACUAGAUGUCACUGACCUAUUUCGGGGCAACGAACUGGGGCGUUUUCGGUCGAAGAUCUAUGCUCGAAUACAAAGACGAGGGUAAGCCUGUUCAAAUCCAAAAUUGUAGCAACAAGAUGAAGAACAAGGCUUUAAAACUAGGUGUGAUAGCUUCAAAGCUUUUAGGGUAAACGAGUAGCUGAAAAAAUUAUCGAAAUUGAUUCCAAUUACAAGUAUUUAUAGGGAGAAAAACAGAGUCUAUGAGCGGGAGUUUGAAUUUUUGAAUUUGUCAAAAAAACAAACCUUCAAAUCCAAACGUUUGAAGCCCUUAGGAUAAGAUUUGCUGGAGCCACGUGAUUGAGAUGACAUCGGUGUGAAGAUGUAGUAGCUACCCUCUGCUUAUCGUUGACAAAAUACGCUACUUUUCCAGAAAAAAAUGAAAGAAGAGACAUGAUGUGCGACCGCUAAGUGAAAAGACAGGAGAUUGAAACCUAAAGAGACUUGGAUAAAUUUAAAAAUAAGGAUAUUUGGGCUGCUGCAUUUUUGGGCCUCCAAAUGGGGUCUUUUUUCGAUAAAUUUAGUAGUCCCAAAGGCUGAAUAAUUUUUGGGUCUCAAAUUGAAUCAAAUUUUGUGGCCCAAUUAGCUGAAAUAGUUUUCGGGUCGUUCAUUCUUUAAAUCAAUUCUUUCGAGCUUCUAAUUUAAUAACUAACAUAAUAUAUGUAAAAAAUAAAAUACUAAUAUUAUAUUUUCGCUAAUGAUUUAGAAAAAUAUUACUAACUUAUAACUAAUUAAUUAAGUAGGAACUUUGAAAUAUGAUGACAAUAAUAGAAUGUUUAAAAAGUAAUUUUAUACUAAUUCUAAGAGGAAUAACAAUCAUAAAAUAAAUAAUAUUAAUAAUAAAAUAGUAGUAGUAGUAAGUCGUAAAUAUUAUAGGAAUUAAUGGAAAAAAUAUUUAUUAACUUAGAAGCUCAAAAAAUAUAAUUUGAAGAAAGAAGGGUCAAAAUUGGGUUUCAACAUUUGAAAGUAUUGAACUUAGGCAGCGUGUACCCUAGCGGAAAUUCAACAUUUGAAUGCACACAUAAAUUCUCUUACUUGAAGCUCUGACAAAUUUUUGAGCGCAACUCUUCAUCAAAAGCUUUUCUCAGAUUGUGAAGCUCUUUUCCCAAAUCUUCAUGGAAAAUUGAUUGAAUAUCCUUCUCACGUCUAGAAUAUAGACCAGCUGCUAAUUGGUUAUGCUUAUUUUCAUUGUAAGGAAAUACAAGUGUGGGAGGAUGGAUAUUUGGCAUCAUGGUGACUUGAAAGUUAUUGGGAUUGAUAGUGUAUAUUGAUGGCAUUUGUGGAGGGAUUGCAUAGGUAGAAGCUGAGUGAGGAGAUAUGGUUAGACAAAUAUUCUAAGUUGAGCUGGAAGCUUUGGUGGUGGUAGGAAGAAGGCUAAAGGUAGUUUUCAAAUUGACCAAAUUAUUUCUUCGAACCACAUUCUUCUUAUAAUCAUCAUUUUGUGCUUGCACAGAUCUCAUGCCGUUGUUGAAUGCUUUCAAUUCGUUUUCCAUUGUAGCUUCGUCCUUUAUACAGAUUCGCAGUCAAAACGGUGUUCAAUGCUAGAUAACCUCUAAAGAAGAAACAAACUAUAUAUAAAAAAAAAAAAUAGUGCAUGAGAAUAACUGCAAAAAUAAUAAAUAUGAGAUAAAAUAGAUUAUGCAUGUGCUUUUGUAAAAUAUGAACUUUUGGCUUAAGGCAAUGAUUUAAGUUUUAAAACGAGUGGACGAGAGAAGGUAUUAGCUAGUGGGCUCUAACGUUGGAAAUAUAAGGAAAGGAAAUUGAUUUGGAGUAGAAAAAAUAAUUUGGAGAAAGGUUGACUCAUGUCGAACAUCAAAUUUUGACUUCAACUUGAUCCUUAUUCUUUGUAAACUUGUUCAUGCUUCCAACUCGGUUAUGUGCCAAAAUUAUGCCCCAGCUUCUUCGGAGGAAUACUAAAAUUUUAUAAUAAAUCGACCGAGCCUUAUAUAGGCUGCCUACGUAUCCACCAAGGAAAUCAGGUCAAGCGUAGUUCGUCUUACAUAAAAAGGAAUUUAAAACAUACAAAUAAUGAUCACCUAAGUUCGCAAAAUACAUCAUUGCUUAGAUGCUACACAAAAACUAAUUGCCCUUCUCUAUGGCUCAUAAAAGUCAUCUUUUGAGAAAGCCCCCAUACGCCUAAUGAUUGUUCUGAUUGAAAUCAUUCUUGGUACUUUGCUCGGCUAUAUCAUAAUUGUUUGCAGAAGAUGCAUGAAAUGGUGAAUUUGGUGCAAUAAUCUUUGGUACAACAGUUUCUUGACUAUGAGAAGGAACUUGACUAACAGAUUGCGAAUAAAUUGCUCGAUUGUGACUUGACGUCGGCAUGACGACUGAAAGUUGAUGCCAAACAAACUUAGGGCUAGGUACCAGUCGUUGAAUGAUCAUGCCACUAUCCAAUAGAUUUUGGAUCUCUUCUUUCAAAUAUUGGCACUCAUCGGUAGUGUGACCUAACAUACCUGAAUGGAAAGCACAUUGUUUGGCCGGGUUAAAAGGAUGCAAAGGGGUUUCAUUAGGCCUUGGUUGCAAAAUUCCUAAUGAUCUCAAUUUUUCGAAUAUGAAUGAAAUUGGUUUACUCAAAGGGAUGAAAGUUUGAGCUUUUCUCACUUCAGGAACUAGUGGAGGAACAUUUGGUGCUUCAGUGACAAUUGUCUUCCCUUUGUCCCUAGAUUGUAGCUCAUUCGAACAAUAAUGCCCCAAAGUUGUUUCUGCCACUUUCUUUUGGGAUUCAUGCCCUUAAUUUAAUUCCCUCAAUAGACUAUAGAUUUCCUUUUCAACAAACCAUACCCUUUAGAUGCACUAUUAGGAGGCCUAUAUUGCUUAAUAAAAUCUUUGGCUAAAUCGACCCAAGAGAGUUAUUUCCUUGUGUCUUGGUUUGCAUACCACAUCAAGGUUGGCCUUGUAAGAGUCCUAACAAAAAGUAUCAUAUUAAAUUCAUUGUCUUGCCCUAUGCUUGCUAACCAAUCAAGAUAUGCCUUCAAGUGGGUCUGGGGAAGACCUGUCCCAUCAUACAUUGGAAUAUCAACAAGAUUAUAAGGUGUCUCGUUCUCAUUUUCCAUCUCAACCAAAUUUGUCUCAAGUUGUGAAGCAAGCUCAUUUGUGAAAGAAAUUUGGUUAGUCUCAGUAUUAAAAUGUCUUCCACCAUCUUCUCCAUCUUUGCUUGUUUCGCUCAAAUUCUCAAAUGCCUCAUUCUGUGAAACUGGAUGCAUGUUUGAAAAGUACUGAGCAUUACAAUCAAAGUUGGAAUAUGCAGUUGCGCGAAUAGGAGAGUAUCCCUCUAAAUCUUCAUCGGAGGAGUCUUUAAGAUCAUAAUCCAAUGAGUCUUUAAUCGAAGAGUUCUUAAUAUUGGCUAUCAUUUCUUUGAUGUCGUGAAUCUCUUGUUCCAUUUUUGCCACUUUUCCCUCAAGCUUAGUAAUUUUAUCUUGGUAUGAUUCAGCUUCUUCACAGUUAAACUCAUCUUCAACUAAGUCAAUCACAAAUCGAUCAGCCAUGUUUUUCUUGAGUUUGUUAGUCCCUUUGAUGCUCAACUUAAGUCAACCUUUGGAAGGAAAAUAAAAUAUUUGGUAAGCGUGGAGUAAGUAUGCGAAAGGUCAAGAGUAGAGCAUUUAAAAACCAACGGGAUCUAGUCCUAUAAGGGAUACCAUUUAAGAAAAUAAAUAAAUAAUAAAACAAAUUUGAUGAAAAAGCUCGAGAUUAAGAAAAUUAAGGUUAAUCGAGUGCACAAGAGUUGAAAUUGAUAAAUUGAAAGGUUGAAUGACCUUAAGCUCUAUUUUAGUAUUGGCGGAUUUAAAAUUAUUAAGGAUGGAGAAAAUGUCAAACAAUUAAAAAACCUUUGAGAUUUCCCUCGACUUGCAUGCCGAUACUUGGAAUUAGUAUGUAAAAAGAAUGGUACGACUAUCUUGAAUUGAAGAAGCAUUGCACUUAAUGGAGAAAAAAAUGAACAAAUAUCGACAAGUGCUAUUUGGUAGAUUACACGAAUCUACCAAUUUAAGAAGUAACAAAUAAUGAGAAAAUUCGAAGAAAUUUGGAGAACAACUAAGAGCUCAAUGAUGUAAACCGAAUGCUAAAUAGAUUCUACAAAAUGCAGAAAUAGUGAAAAAAGUUUUUGUCGCUAGAAAGGUAGGUUUAUAUCCGUAAAGGAGGGACUUCAAAAAAUUCGAGAGUGUAAAGAUUUAUAAGAGUGAAUUUUGGCACGAGUCUAUAAAAUUUGGAGUGUUAAGGGGCAAAAAAUAUCACACCUAAUUUUGAACAACUAUGCCAAUUUUAAAAAGUAAGAAGAAAAUUCUUAAAGCAAGUCGUGGAUAUGAAUAUUGAGAAAAUCGAAGGAAGAAAACAAAUUUGGUAAAUUUUAAAGGAAGAAAGUGAGUUUUGGUAAAAUAUUACCUAAAUUUUUUUUAAAAACAAGGUCAUUAAAAAUAUGUGCAAGCCUAGGAUUAUUAUGAGCCUAAUCGAUGCUUUAGAAUUGUUAAAGUGCACUAAGUGUGGAAAUAUAAAUAUAAAAACAAAAAGUUUAUGAACAUGACUUAAGAAUUUGUAAAGGUGCGAUAGGUAAUCAAAUAAAGAAAUAAAUAAAGGCAAAUAAUUUUCUCUUCUGAAAAUAAGAAAAACAAAGAUGGUGUUGGUAAUAGUCAAUUAAAAUCACGUUGCAAAUAAAUUCAUAUAGGUCACGUAGGAAGUCAGCAAGCAAAUAUUUAUAAAGCACGUAACACAAGUAUAUCAAAUAAUGCGUCCUACUAUAUAGGGGACCUCUUUAUGCUAGAGGUAGGCCUAAUGCGUAUUUGAAAAAUAAAUGUACCAAAAUAUGUCAUUCCAUUGCUCUUGAUUUACUUAAGCGAAUCUAUUCCCCAAAUUAAAUACAAAAAUAGCCUUAAGCUUUAUUACAUCUCAAAAAAGAAUAAAGAAAUAAAGCUCUUCAUCGCAUCUACGCAUCUUCUUCUCAUGGCAUGCUCGUGGUUUAAUCUCCAUAGGCCAAAACUUGUGAUCUUCAUAGCUAUUUGCAUCACAAAAGGGUUAAUACCCUCCCUCCUAAGUUUAAUUAAUUUAGAACCAAUGGUCCAUAUUUUGGCUAAACUAUUUUUCAAAUAAUGCACACACAAAUGAUAAGAGUCACUCGGGGUCGUGAACCCACUUGGACAUUUGGAUAAAGUUGACUAAUGAACUUAAUACACCAAGGGUAUUAAACCUCUUAGAUUUAUAUGAUGCAUGUACCGUAAAAGGUGUUGGUUCAGCUCUAUCCUAGGUUGAUUAAGAGUGGGUUUACUAGACACAAGGUUCCCAAGUGGACAACUCGAGUGAGAAGGCUACACGGUCACACGGAAAAAGAUUUGGACACCCCGUGCAUACACCAACUCUCCUAAAUUUGGGAUUUUGAAAGAAAUUUGUGGGUGCGCAAAACACACAUCGCGUGUACGUGUGAUUGUGUGAAUUUUCUAGAAAUGGAAGAAUUAUGAGCGGAAUGACAAUUUUUAUGAAGCAGUAACAAAUAAACAAUUUAUAUAGAGCAUUAACAAAUAAACAGUUUAUGUCACAUAAGCACGAUAAUAAAACAUUUAAGCAACUAAAAUAAACAAACAAUUAAAAACACAAGCAAAUACUAAAAACCUUAAUUAUUAACCUAAGUCUGUUAUGGUUUAAAACCUAAUUUUCCCCAGUGAAGUCGUAAUUUCUGUUAUACCCCAUUUUAACUCGAGGUCCAAAUUGUGUACAACAUUUUGGUGAUUUCCAAAUUAUUACCUAACUUAAGAAGUCGCCACCUAAUUAUUACGGUGAAUUAGGACACCUAAAUAUUUGACUAAGUAAUACUAAAAUUGACUCCAAUUAAGGCCUACUUAACCUAUGUGAUUCUAGGUAAGGGUUCUAAAUUAUCCUAAAGGGAAGGUGUAAGGCAUCCUUUAAGAUUAGUUAAAAACUAUUAACCGGCCAAACUUAGGUUAAUUAAUUUUGAAAGAAAGAUAUGAAUGCUAAAGAUUAAGUGAUUGAAUAAUCAAAUUGGAAACAUUUCUUAACUGUGAAAGCUCUUUUGUAAUUGUAAUAGAAUGAUAAAGAUUUAAGAAAAAGUAACUCGUCUAGGUAAAUUUAGACAAAAUUUGUGAUCCAAUGGCUAAAAGAAAGGUAAUUAAAAUAAAGGUAUUUUCUCUCAUUUAUUGACAAAGUGCUUCCUUUAGAAAAGUAUUUUUAGAAAAAUAGGAGUUUUUUUCUUUUUCGAAAUACACUACCAAGUUUGAACAAAACUUAAUAAUUAGUGAGUUUAAAGUGGUGCAAAAAGAAGUGUUUUAAAAAAGAGUUUGCCAAAUGAAGUUUAUAAAAGCUAAAGCGACUAUGAAGGUUGUUUCUAACUAAAGGUAGGGAAACCCAAACAUCUAUAUUAAGUUAGUUAUUAUGAAACAAGAAAUGAACACAUAUCCAAAACACAUAAGCAAAUUAAAACAAAUAAAUGCUAAAUAGUAAAAGCGACCCUCAAAUGAAUUUUGCUCACUAUUUGGAUAGUCUAAGAUGUCGACUUCAUGUGCGGGUAUGAUGGUGUCGAGUCCAUGAGACUCUAAUUUUGGUAGAGUCCUUAAAUGAGCCCUCUUGCACGGUGAGAGUCUUUUAUUGAGACUCCAAAUAGCUCCGGAAGUGUUCAUGCAAAUAAAGAAAGAAUAAAGAGAUUAGGGAGGCGAAUCCACUUUAAGACUAUCAAAUAAACCAAACAUGAAGCUAGUAAAGUCGUACAACCAAAAUACUAUCCGGAAUGAAAAAUAUGCAAGCAUAGGAUAAGUCGACUUAUUAACAUAACUCAAAGUAACUAGUCUACAAGAUAAAACUAACUCUCAAGUUUAUCCAACUUAAUCUAUAACAAAGUUACAUUUUAAGGCAUGAAGAUAAUUAAAACAAGCCAUUUAUUUAAAACUUAUAAGAAAGAUUUAACACAUAUACUAUAUAUGUUGACAGAAUAGGAAAGAAACUUAAAAACUCAUAUUUUUUUAAAUAAACUAUUCAGAGAUUUACAUGUCAUUUAUUUAGAAAAAUUGAAGGAAGCUUAUGUACACAUAUUUGCUAAAAAAUAAUAGGAAAGAAGUUUAAAGAUUCACAAUAUUGACAGUAUGUUUUCCAUUCAACAGAGGGAACAAAUAGAGGCAUCAUAACAUAAAAUCUAUUGCCAGAUAAGGAUACCAAAUGCCAUUAAUUUAUAAGAACGGAAGAUUUGAUUACAAAACCAUUAUAUGAUGGCUAAAAAUGUAAAAUAAACAUGGCUUUGGAUAUCUAAAAGAUUUGAGCUAAGCCCAAAUACAUUUUAAACAUCACAUUUAGUAUAGCUAAAAGUGACCAGAGACAACAUUUUCAUCAUGAUGACAAAGAAAACAGAGGAAAAGAGGAACACAUUACAAGUUGGCUAUCGAAAUACAAAGUUUAGGACAUUUUAUUUGCGCCUUAAUCUAGUAAAAGGCUAUACUCCGACAAACAUAAACAAAGCAAUACAUAUUUUUAUAGGCUUAACAUUAUCUCAAAACAGAGGGAUAUAUAUUUGGUUAAACAUCACUUAAGUAUGCUAAUAAGUAUUUUACUCAUUUGUCAAACUUCAAACAAAGCAUAGUUUCCAAAGAGUUUACUACCUAAAAAUGAGUCUUGGAAACAUGAUUUCUAAAAAAAAAUAAAACAAUCUUCAAAAUACUUUAACAUCUUAUUUUAACAAAAGAAAUGAACAAACAGUGAAUAUUAAAAUCAAAGAUCAGCUAAGUUACAUUCAUUCAUCAUGAUGCCAAAACACAAAAGUACUGAAAUGAAACUAACAGUAAGUCCAUAACACAUUAAAACACAAAUUCGUCCAUAUCUCAUGAAAAUAAAAUAAAAAAGAAACUAGAUGUCACUGACCUAUUUCGGGGCAGCGAACUGGGGCGUUUUCGGUCGAAGAUCUAUGCUCGAAUACGAAGACGAGGGUAAGCCCGUUCAAAUCCAAAAUCGUAGCAACAAGAUGAAGAACAAGGCUUCAAAACUAGGUGUGAUAGCUUCAAAGCUUUUAGGGUAAACGAGUAGCUAAAAAACUUAUUGAAAUUGACUCCAAAUACAAGUAUUUAUAGGGAGAAAAACAGAGUUUAUGAGCGGGAGUUUGAAAUUUUGAAUUGGUCAAAAAAACAAACCUUCAAAUCCAAACGUUUGAAGCCCUUAGGAUAAGAUUUACAGGAGCAACGUGAUUGAGAUGACAUCAGCAUGAAGAUGGCGUUUUUUGUUGACAAAAUACGCUACUUUUCUAGAUAAAAAUGAAAGAGGAGACAUGAUGUGCGACUGCUAA